This 497-nucleotide ribosomal RNA is filed under the name uncultured bacterium. RNAcentral's name for it is "partial 16S ribosomal RNA". It matches the Rfam family "Bacterial small subunit ribosomal RNA", at positions 28 to 507 of the family's 1533-position model. The record is from RNAcentral.
GAUGAACGCUGGCGGCGUGCCUAAUACAUGCAAGUCGAGCGAACGGACGAGAAGCUUGCUUUUCUGAUGUUAGCGGCGGACGGGUGAGUAACACGUGGAUAACCUACCUAUAAGACUGGGAUAACUUCGGGAAACCGGAGCUAAUACCGGAUAAUAUUUUGAACCGCAUGGUUCAAAAGUGAAAGACGGUCCUGCUGUCACUUAUAGAUGGAUCCGCGCUGCAUUAGCUAGUUGGUAAGGUAACGGCUUACCAAGGCAACGAUGCAUAGCCGACCUGAGAGGGUGAUCGGCCACACUGGAACUGAGACACGGUCCAGACUCCUACGGGAGGCAGCAGUAGGGAAUCUUCCGCAAUGGGCGAAAGCCUGACGGAGCAACGCCGCGUGAGUGAUGAAGGUCUUCGGAUCGUAAAACUCUGUUAUUAGGGAAGAACUUAUGUGUAAGUAACUGUGCACAUCUUGACGGUACCUAAUCAGAAAGCCACGGCUAACUACGUG